AUUGAACGCUGGCGGCAUGCUUUACACAUGCAAGUCGAACGGUAACAGGCCGCAAGGUGCUGACGAGUGGCGAACGGGUGAGUAAUGCAUCGGAACGUGCCCAGUCGUGGGGGAUAACUACUCGAAAGAGUAGCUAAUACCGCAUACGAUCUAUGGAUGAAAGCGGGGGACCGUAAGGCCUCGCGCGAUUGGAGCGGCCGAUGUCAGAUUAGGUAGUUGGUGGGGUAAAGGCUCACCAAGCCAACGAUCUGUAGCUGGUCUGAGAGGACGACCAGCCACACUGGGACUGAGACACGGCCCAGACUCCUACGGGAGGCAGCAGUGGGGAAUUUUGGACAAUGGGCGCAAGCCUGAUCCAGCAAUGCCGCGUGCAGGAAGAAGGCCUUCGGGUUGUAAACUGCUUUUGUACGGAACGAAACGGCUCUGGUUAAGACCCGGGGCUAAUGACGGUACCGUAAGAAUAAGCACCGGCUAACUACGU
Molecule: ribosomal RNA, 481 nt
Filed under: uncultured bacterium
Lineage: Bacteria
Description: partial 16S ribosomal RNA
Rfam family: Bacterial small subunit ribosomal RNA
Source: RNAcentral